This 430-nucleotide ribosomal RNA is filed under the name uncultured bacterium. RNAcentral's name for it is "partial 16S ribosomal RNA". It matches the Rfam family "Bacterial small subunit ribosomal RNA", at positions 338 to 795 of the family's 1533-position model. The record is from RNAcentral.
CCUACGGGUGGCUGCAGUCGAGAAUCUUCGGCAAUGGGCGCAAGCCUGACCGAGCGACGCCGCGUGCGGGAUGAAGGCCUUCGGGUUGUAAACCGCUGUCGUAGGGGAGGCCGAUCCUAGGAGGAAGGGCCGGCUAAUCUCGUGCCAGCAGCCGCGGUAAUACGAGAGGCCCAAACGUUAUUCGGAAUCACUGGGCUUAAAGAGUUCGUAGGCGGCGCGGAAAGUGGGGUGUGAAAGCCCUCGGCUCAACCGAGGAAUUGCGCUCCAAACUGUCGCGCUUGAGGAAGCUAGAGGUAAGCAGAACUGAUGGUGGAGCGGUGAAAUGCGUUGAUAUCAUCAGGAAUACCGGAGGCGAAGGCGGCUUACUGGACUUUCUGACGCUGAGGAACGAAAGCUAGGGGAGCAAACGGGAUUAGAUACCCCUGUAGUC